Amphimedon queenslandica is the source of this 194-nucleotide long non-coding RNA. RefSeq lists it as uncharacterized. Lineage: Eukaryota; Metazoa; Porifera; Demospongiae; Haplosclerida; Niphatidae. The record is from RefSeq and is a predicted model, not a curated record. The transcript has 2 exons.
AUCAUCAGAGUUAGUCUCAGUCCAUCAGGACAAGGAUUAGUCUUUAUUCACAUGUAUGAAUCACUCCAAGAAUCAUAAGUGCGCUUGAAUAGUUGAGCAUCAUGUAGCUAGCUGUUAAUAGUGACGUCUAGUAUGAAGUGAAACAACUUCCAUUGUCAAAUGAAUUUUGUACUAAUGUGAAAAAUUGAUGUUAA